UACGUAGGGUGCGCGCGUUAAUCGGAAUUACUGGGCGUAAAGCGUGCGCAGGCGGGUUCGUAAGACAGGCGUGAAAUCCCCGGGCUUAACCUGGGAACUGCGCUUGUGACUGCGAGGCUAGAGUGUGUCAGAGGGAGGUGGAAUUCCACGUGUAGCAGUGAAAUGCGUAGAGAUGUGGAGGAACACCGAGGGCGAAGGCAGCCUCCUGGGAUAACACUGACGCUCAUGCACGAAAGCGUGGGGAGCAAACAGG
This 253-nucleotide ribosomal RNA is filed under the name uncultured bacterium. RNAcentral's name for it is "partial 16S ribosomal RNA". It matches the Rfam family "Bacterial small subunit ribosomal RNA", at positions 524 to 776 of the family's 1533-position model. The record is from RNAcentral.